CGCAACGGGAGGAGCGUGCGGUUUAAUUGGAUUCAACACCGGGAAGCUCACCAAGGGCGACUGUCACAUGAAGGCCAGGCCGAUGACCUUGCCGGAUUCCCAGAGAGGUGGUGCAUGGCCGUCGUCAGUUCGUACCGUAAGGCGUUCUCUUAAGUGAGAUAACGAACGAGACCCUCACCGAUAAUUGCUACCCCAUCCUCCGGGGUGGGGGCACAUUAUCGGGACCGCUGGCGCUAAGCCAGAGGAAGGAGAGGUCAACGGUAGGUCAGUAUGCCCCGAAUCUCUUGGGCUACACGCGCGCUACAAAGGGCGGGACAAUGGGCUCCGACGCCGAGAGGCGGAGGCAAUCCCGAAACCCGUCCGUAGUUCGGAUUGAGGGCUGCAACCCGCCCUCAUGAAGCUGGAUUCCGUAGUAAUCGCGAAUCAAAAACUCGCGGUGAAUAUGCCCCU
Molecule: ribosomal RNA, 450 nt
Filed under: uncultured archaeon
Lineage: Archaea
Description: bacterial SSU rRNA
Rfam family: Archaeal small subunit ribosomal RNA
Source: RNAcentral